Molecule: long non-coding RNA, 1447 nt
Filed under: Anas platyrhynchos platyrhynchos (common mallard)
Lineage: Eukaryota; Metazoa; Chordata; Aves; Anseriformes; Anatidae
Description: lncRNA (ENSAPLG00000024710.1)
Source: RNAcentral
GCUCCCAGUGCCUUCCCAGGAGCUCUCGUGGACCUCCUGGUGCCACCUCGAGGUUCUCAGACACUUCCCCAUCCUCCUUGAAGCCAUACCAGUAUGUCCCAGUAUGACCCAGUGUGUCCCAGUAUGUCCCUCUGGUCUAUUGGUGGUGCCCCAGUGCCUCCCAGUAGCUCCCAGUGCCUUCCCAGGAGCUCUCGUGGACCUCCUGGUGCCACCUCGAGGUUCUCAGACACUUCCCCAUCUUCCUUGAAGCCAUACCAGUAUGACCCAGUAUGUCCCAGUAUGUCCCUCUGGACUAUUGGCGGUGCCCCAGUGCCUCCCAGUAUCUCCCAGUACCACCCCAGAAGCUCUCAAAGCCCCACUGGUGCCACCUCGAGGUGCUCAGCUGUUUCCCCAUCCUCCCUGCUGCCAUCCCAGUUCCUCCCAGUAGCUCCCAGUGCACUCCUGGUGCCGCUCCAGCAUCUCCCAGUAAGGUCCAGUGCCCUCCCAGUGCCCCUCCGUAUCUCCCAGUGGCCCCUCGGCCCCUCCCAGUUCCUCCCAGUCCCGUCAGAGCUGACUCACUCCCCAGUACUUCCUCAAUACUGGGCAGGGCGGCACCUCCCAGUUGUUUCCUGUCUGUCCCAGUUGCUUCCAGUCUGCCCCAGUUGCCUCCCAGUCUGCCCCAGUUGCCUCCCAAUGGCCCUCAACCCCACCCCAGCAGCUCCCAGUGCCCUCCCAGUGCCCCUCAACCCCCUCCCAGUGCCCACCAGUCCCUCCCAGCCCCAAACCAGUCCCUCCCAGCCCCCUCCCAGCCCCCCCCAGUCCCCUCCCAGUUCAUCCCAGUGCCCACCAGUGGACUCAUCGGCAGCUAGGAUGCCCUUGCCGGGGGCCACGAUGCGCCGGGCGAUGUCGGCGAGCUCCUGCUUCUGCUCGGGGGUGAGCGCCGGGUACUGGUGCGGCAUGGUGGUGGCACUGGGGACAAGAUGGGGACAGCGUCAGGGGGACACCGGGGAACCCGGGGAGAACGUCGGGGACCCCGAGAACGUUGGGGACCCCAUGAGGAGCCCAUGGGGACAUCAGGAACCCCAAGAGGAACAUCAGGAACCCUACAGAGAACGUUGGGGACCCCAUGGAGAACCUCAAGAACCUCAUGGAGAACAUUGGGGUCUCCUUGGAGAACCCAUGGGGACAUCGGGGACCCCAUGGAGAACCCAUAGGGGACAUUGGGGACCCCAUGGGGGACAUUGGGGACCCUACAGAGAACCCUUGGAGAACGUUGGGGACCCCAAAAAGAACCCCAUGGGGACCCCAGGGACAGGGGAGGGUGGGAGGGGGCACCCAUGGGUGCUGAGGGGACACCGAGGGGACCUGGGGACACCCAAGGGACAGCGAGGAGGGACACAAGGGUGCCUGGGGACACCCAAGGGGACACCAAGGGGAGCUGGGGACACCCAAGGGACACCAAGGAGGG